This 401-nucleotide ribosomal RNA is filed under the name uncultured eukaryote. RNAcentral's name for it is "SSU rRNA". It matches the Rfam family "Eukaryotic small subunit ribosomal RNA", at positions 587 to 992 of the family's 1831-position model. The record is from RNAcentral.
AGCUCCAAUAGCGUAUAUUAAAGUUGUCGCGGUUAAAAGCUCGCAGUUGGAUUUCUGCUGGGGACGACCGGUCCGCCCUCCGGGUGAGCAUCUGGCCCGGCCUCGGCAUCUUCUUGGAGAACGUGUCUGCACUUGACUCUGUGGUGCGGUAUCCAGGACCUUUACUUUGAGGAAAUUAGAGUGUUUCAAGCAGGCGCCCGCCUUGUAUGCGUUAGCAUGGAAUAAUAAGACAGGACCUUGGUUCUAUUUUGUCCUUUUUUUAGAGCCGAGGUAAUGAUUAAUAGGGAUAGUUGGGGCCAUUCGUAUUUAACUGUCAGAAGUGAAAUUCUUGGAUUUGUUAAAGACGAACUACCGCAAAAGCAUUUGCCAAGGAUGUUUUCAUUGAUCAAGAACGAAAGUAG